UGUACUACUUUACUUCGAUAGGAUUUUAAUUUAAAACUAAAUUAUAUAUGGUAGUUAUUCGUGAGAUAAACCCAGUUAAAAAUAUUAAACAAUAAUAGAAAUAUUAAUUUAAUUAGUGUUUAAGUAAUGUGGCAAAUUAGGUGCCAGCAGCCGCGGUCACACCUGACCAUGAAAAUUAAAACAACUAGGUUAAACUUUAACAAAGAACAAUAAUUAUUCAAGUGAAAUAGAUAAUAAUUGGAAUUUUAAUUUGUUAAUAAUUAGUUAAAACUCGAUAUAUAAACUAGGAUUAGAUACCCUACUAUAAAGAGUAAAAAAUAUUUCCUAAGCACUAAGACUAAAAAGUUAAAACUUAAAAGGUAUGGCGGCAGCUUUAAAUUUUAGGGGAACUUACCAGAUAAUUGACAACCCUCAAUAAACAGAACUUAAUUUUAUAGCUUGUAUACCGCCGUCUUUAGAAUGUAUUUAAGAUAUUUUCAACACCCUAAAUAAGGUAGAAGACAGGCCAUGGUGCAGCCAAUAAUUAAGACUUAAGGUGAGUUACAAUAAAAAAUCUUUUUCGGAAUUUAAUUGAAAAUUUAAAGGAAGAUGGACCUAAAAGUAAAAUUUAAAGAAGUAUUAUUUGAAUAUUUUAAAAAGCUGUGCACAAAUCGCCCGUCACUCUCGUUGAAAAAGGAGAUAAGUCGUAACAUAGUAGAGGUAACGGAAGUUGUCUCU
Molecule: ribosomal RNA, 717 nt
Filed under: Thuridilla gracilis
Lineage: Eukaryota; Metazoa; Mollusca; Gastropoda; Plakobranchidae
Description: small subunit ribosomal RNA
Source: RNAcentral